UCCACUUCCCCAUACCUUCCCUUCCACCUUCCACCCUGAGGAAUCAGCCAGCCUGAAGGAGUGGGGCAGAGAGCAGAAGCCUGCCCUUCCAUAACAGAUCUGCGGCUGGGAGGGAGAGGAGAAGGGACUUCUCCUAGAAUGGAAAUGGUGUGCUGAUUCAUACCUUGGACUAGACAUUUAGAAAUUUGAGACUUCUUGUGACUUAAACUGCCUGUUCUACCAGAAGACAACACUCCCUGAGGACUCCACUGUUAGGCAGUGAGCAAGAGCUGGGCCUUUGGAGAAGAGGAGCAUAUGAAGGCAAACAGCCAAUGAGGAAACGGAGGCUCAGGGAAAUUAAAUGGCUUGACCAAAAUUCAUGUGUAAGUGUCAGCAAGUGCCUAUACUGGGAUUUGAACCUAAGUCUGUCUGACUCCAAAUCGGCAGUCCUAAGCUAUUGCUCCACUUCCCUGCUUUGUACACCAGAAAGGUAAGAGACACAAAUGGGGCUAUUUGAAAAACAAACAGCAGGAUGAACAACUAGUUGAUAUGCCCCUUCAAGGCCCAAAUGAAGAGCAUGAUUGGACCAGACUGUGUGGAAGAGGACAAAGAGGUAGGAGCAAGAAAGAGGAGCCUCUGGAUGAGCAGAAGCCAGUAAAGGGACACCAAUGGCACAUAUCCAUCUUCCAACUAAAGCAUUACAGGCUAACUCUUUUUUUCCAUCAUUGAGCAAGUUGCUUUGACCCACACACUCCCUAAAAACACUGCAGCAGCAUCAUACCACACAGUGGAAGAAAUCUCAUCCCAAAUAUGCACAUAGAUAACCAGAGAGACUACUGGUUAUCCACUUGGUGACCUGGCCAACUGGCAACUGAACUGGAAAAACAUCUGCUGACCUAAAAACUACUCUACCAGGCAACUUUCUCUCAAUGAGUUCCCUGUAAAACAUUCUCUGUUAACCUACUCAUUAGUAUAAGAGUGAGUCUUUGGGAAAAGAUGUACCUGGACUCAAGUCCAGGCUCUAACACCUACUGACUCUGUGACCUUGAACAAGAUUCGUAUGUGUGCUAGGCAUCAUUUGUAAUGCAUGCAUAAUAAUUCUAUCCUAGGAUUACAGGGAGGAUUAACUGAGAUGAUACAUGAGAAACAGUCCAGUGCUUGGGCUCUAAUAAGUGCUCAAACAGAUUAGCUGUUGUUACUUAAAAAUUAUGGCAAGUAAAGCCCUUUAUAAGCUCUUCAAAGCAGUCAAAGAUAUCCAUUUUUACUUUACUAGUGAAAUCAGCAAUGUGAUUCUUAUAUUAGAGAUAUAAAAAUCUGGCAUUUAGGGCAUUUGCAUUAGACAAGUAUAUUUUUGCUUGGAGUAGCACUAUGUAUUCAUGUGAGAUAAAGAACUAUCUAGAUUGCCAUAUAUUGGAACUCCAGUAACCAAAUCCUAUAGCUGCUGUGGUCUAGGGUGGCUGGCUACCCUUGCUAAUUUAAACAUUUUCUCUCAGGCUAUUGGUUUCCUUCUGGCUUCCUGUGAUGCUAUCUCAGACACAAUUGCAACCAGGUUUGCGGUGCGGUUUAAUGACACAUUUCAUGAGGUUUUGUUUUGGUGUUGCUCUGUCAAAAUGAUGUGGGGGAUAAGGGAGUGCAAUCUAUUGCAGCUGUUUGUUAUCACUCAGAUAAGCCUGAGAAGCUUCCCAAUUAACCUUAGUGUGUCAUAAAGCCAAUCAGUACAUGAAAACAAGAAUUUCUCAUUUACUGAAAUGAUAUUUGCCUUGUAAUUGCUGUCUGGGAAUGUUGAACCAAGUAGAAAACAUUAAGGAAACUGCACUCCUCCCCACAAAUUUAAGCUUGGUGAUUGUUAAAAAUAAAAAUAAAAAAGACCAAGAAUACUGUAGUCCCAGCUACUUAGGAGGCUGAGACAGGA
Molecule: long non-coding RNA, 1891 nt
Filed under: Homo sapiens (human)
Lineage: Eukaryota; Metazoa; Chordata; Mammalia; Primates; Hominidae
Description: HSALNT0336293
Source: RNAcentral